RNAcentral lists this ribosomal RNA (230 nucleotides) under Escherichia coli. Its description in RNAcentral is "partial 23S ribosomal RNA". It matches the Rfam family "Bacterial large subunit ribosomal RNA", at positions 1241 to 1474 of the family's 2925-position model. The record is from RNAcentral. Lineage: Bacteria; Pseudomonadati; Pseudomonadota; Gammaproteobacteria; Enterobacterales; Enterobacteriaceae.
CUGUAAGCCUGUGAAGGUGUGCUGUGAGGCAUGCUGGAGGUAUCAGAAGUGCGAAUGCUGACAUAAGUAACGAUAAAGCGGGUGAAAAGCCCGCUCGCCGGAAGACCAAGGGUUCCUGUCCAACGUUAAUCGGGGCAGGGUGAGUCGACCCCUAAGGCGAGGCCGAAAGGCGUAGUCGAUGGGAAACAGGUUAAUAUUCCUGUACUUGGUGUUACUGCGAAGGGGGGACG